AUCGCUUCUGGCUUUUUGGCUAAGAUCAAGUGUAGUGUCUGUUAUUAUCAGUUUAAUAUCUGAUACGUCCUCUAUCUGAGGAAACUAUAUUAAAUGGAUUUUUGGAGCAGGGAGUCAGAAUAGGGGCUUGUUCCCGUCCACUCCAUGCAUCGACCUGGUAUUGCAGUACUUCCAGGAAUGGUGCACACCCA
Molecule: small nuclear RNA, 191 nt
Filed under: Erinaceus europaeus (western European hedgehog)
Lineage: Eukaryota; Metazoa; Chordata; Mammalia; Eulipotyphla; Erinaceidae
Description: U2 spliceosomal RNA (ENSEEUG00000017473.1)
Rfam family: U2 spliceosomal RNA
About the family: U2 is a small nuclear RNA (snRNA) component of the spliceosome (involved in pre-mRNA splicing). Complementary binding between U2 snRNA (in an area lying towards the 5' end but 3' to hairpin I) and the branchpoint sequence (BPS) of the intron results the bulging out of an unpaired adenosine, on the BPS, which initiates a nucleophilic attack at the intronic 5' splice site, thus starting the first of two transesterification reactions that mediate splicing.
Source: RNAcentral